This is a long non-coding RNA of Solea senegalensis (Senegalese sole), 462 nucleotides long. RefSeq lists it as uncharacterized. NCBI's taxonomy places the organism in Eukaryota, Metazoa, Chordata, Actinopteri, Pleuronectiformes, Soleidae. The record is from RefSeq and is a predicted model, not a curated record. The transcript is spliced from 2 exons.
UUCACAAGACUUUAUGCACAUAUAGGAGAAAAAGAAUACAAUCAGCAGCAAUGAGGCUUUUCAUUUCUCCUAUAAGGAGAUGUGUGAGUUGAGGUGGAAAGGGGCAGGAGGAGGGGAGGCCUUUGGUCUGUCAAAGUGGAGUUAAUCUGAACCUGAGGCAUCACGUUCAUUUUUGAUGGAGGCCAGAGAUAGGACGUCGAGGCGGAGGAGGAGGAGGGCUGGAAGGAUGAAAGAUCACCCACACCUGUGAGGGGCUGCUGAAAGUUACAACUCACUCAAAGAGGCCUUUCUAUCACUGCACCAUUUGUCAAAGAUGAUGGGGCAGCAGCAGCAACAACAGCAGCAACGGCAAGAGCUUCACUCUAUUUCUGUUUCCAAUGGUGGCUCAUCAUGUGGCCUCAUUGCUACGGGAUAAAGUUUACACUGAUUUGUCUCCUUAACAAUAAAUCUUUUCCAAAUGCA